Long non-coding RNA from Mauremys reevesii (Reeves's turtle), 647 nucleotides. RefSeq lists it as uncharacterized. The transcript is spliced from 3 exons. The record is from RefSeq and is a predicted model, not a curated record. NCBI's taxonomy places the organism in Eukaryota, Metazoa, Chordata, Testudines, Geoemydidae.
CAGAGGCAGCAGAACCUUCCUCCUUAGCAGGAGUUGGGAGCAAAGCCGCUGGAAAUCAGCCCUGCUUGGGUGUCAGCGUCAGGCCGGGCCGGGCCGCACUGGACAGCAGUAGCAUGUGCUGCUCCCUCGGGCCGGAGCGCUGCACAGGGGCCGGUGUCCCCACAGCGGGACCAGGCCCAAGCACCAAAUGCACAUCUCCAGCGGAGCUGUGGCGGUUAGAUGCCCCCGUGGGAGGCAGGUCUUGGAAACGGCCUGAGAACUUGACGUCCCAAGAUAUUAACCAGUCUCCAUUUACAGGCAAACUUACACAUUUUGAAGUUGGCCCAGCAAGAGAAACCACCUCACCUACCUUGUCUCGCUAAUAUCCUGGGGCCAACGUGGCUAGUGGCAGUCAUGGUGCAAACCGACAUUGUGCAAGUUCCCCCAGCGUGUCCGCCGGCAUACCCAGCAACUCAUCACAUCACACCCCCUCUCUCAAGGAGAGGGGCCACAGGCCAGACGGUCCAGCAGGCUCUUGAAAAAGGAACCCAGAAUUCUGUGAGCCGAAUUCAAAUUGAACAAGGCAGUGAAUUAACGCAAAGCAGAAAGAUGUUUAUGAUAUUAAAUCUAGGGCUGGUCAAAAAAAAAAGUAUUUUCUGCACAAAAAU